RNAcentral lists this ribosomal RNA (429 nucleotides) under Gemmatimonadota bacterium. RNAcentral's name for it is "Gemmatimonadetes bacterium partial 16S ribosomal RNA". It matches the Rfam family "Bacterial small subunit ribosomal RNA", at positions 355 to 776 of the family's 1533-position model. Lineage: Bacteria; Pseudomonadati; Gemmatimonadota. The record is from RNAcentral.
UAGGGAAUCUUCGGCAAUGGACGAAAGUCUGACCGAGCAACGCCGCGUGAGUGAAGAAGGUUUUCGGAUCGUAAAACUCUGUUGUUAGAGAAGAACAAGGACGUUAGUAACUGAACGUCCCCUGACGGUAUCUAACCAGAAAGCCACGGCUAACUACGUGCCAGCAGCCGCGGUAAUACGUAGGUGGCAAGCGUUGUCCGGAUUUAUUGGGCGUAAAGCGAGCGCAGGCGGUUUCUUAAGUCUGAUGUGAAAGCCCCCGGCUCAACCGGGGAGGGUCAUUGGAAACUGGGAGACUUGCGUGCAGAAGAGGAGAGUGGAAUUCCAUGUGUAGCGGUGAAAUGCGUAGAUAUAUGGAGGAACACCAGUGGCGACGGCGGCUCUCUGGUCUGUAACUGACGCUGAGGCUCGAAAGCGUGGGGAGCAAACAGG